Molecule: ribosomal RNA, 305 nt
Filed under: uncultured bacterium
Lineage: Bacteria
Description: bacterial SSU rRNA
Rfam family: Bacterial small subunit ribosomal RNA
Source: RNAcentral
UAUCCUACGGGAGGCAGCAGUGGGGAAUAUUGGGCAAUGGGCGCAAGCCUUACCCAGCAAUACCGCGUGAGUGAAGAAGGUCUUCGGAUUGUAAAGCUCUUUGAUCAGGGACGAACAGAUGACGGUACCUGAAGAACAAGCCCCGGCUAACUACGUGCCAGCAGCCGCGGUAAAACGUAGGUGGCAAGCGUUAUCCGGAUUUACUGGGUGUAAAGGGCGUGUAGGCGGGAAAGCAAGUCAGAUGUGAAAACCAUGGGCUCAACCUGUGGCCUGCAUUUGAAACUGUUUUUCUUGAGCACUGGAGA